AGUGCUGCUUACUGGGUCCUGAAUCGGCUGCGUGCUGUUCUAGGUGGGGACUUGAGAGACUGUAGAUGGGUCUAGGGAGUGGUCGAAUAUAAAUAAGCUAGAUUUUUUUUUUUUUAAUUGCAAGGGAACUCCCUAGGAAUUCCAUCCAUGGCCUUGUGGAACGAUCUGCCAAAGAAAAAAUAUUUAUCUCUGCAUCUUUCACCCUGAAGUCACGGGAACAACGCUGAGGGGCAGCCAGAGAUUAUGUGGGCUUUUCCAUGGGAAGAACCACUCUACGUUAUCACCUUCUACAUAGUAGCAGUUGAAGCCAAAUGGACAGAAAGCCCGAGACAACAUGAAGUUGUUCUACAAGUUAUUUUGGAGAAAUUGACUUACC
RNAcentral lists this long non-coding RNA (376 nucleotides) under Homo sapiens (human). RNAcentral describes it as "HSALNT0391196". The record is from RNAcentral. Lineage: Eukaryota; Metazoa; Chordata; Mammalia; Primates; Hominidae.